Molecule: ribosomal RNA, 497 nt
Filed under: uncultured bacterium
Lineage: Bacteria
Description: partial 16S ribosomal RNA
Rfam family: Bacterial small subunit ribosomal RNA
Source: RNAcentral
GAUGAACGCUGGCGGCGUGCCUAACACAUGCAAGUCGAGCGAACGGACGCGUACGUUGCUUCUCUGAUGUUAGCGGCGGAAGGGUGAGUUACACAUGCAUACCUUCCCUAUAAGACUGGGAUAACUUCCGGAAACCGUAGCUAAUUACGGCUAAUCUUUUGAACCGCUUGGUUCAAAAGUUCUAGACGGUCUUGCUUGUACUUAUAGCCUGUUCCCCGCUGCAUUAGCUAGUUGCUAAGGUAACGGCUUACCAAGGCAACGAUGCAUAGCCGACCUGAGAGGGUGAUCAGCCGCACAGGAACUGAGACACGGUCCAGACUCCGACGGGAGGCAGAAGGAGGGAAGCUUCCGCAAUGAGCGAAAGCCGGACGGAGCAACGCCGCGGGAGUGAUGAGGGUGUUCUGAUCGUAAAACGCUGUUAUUAGGGAAGAAGAUAUGUGGAAGUAACUGGGCACAUCGUGACGGUAGCUAAACAGAAAGCCACGGCUAACUACGUG